RNAcentral lists this ribosomal RNA (253 nucleotides) under uncultured bacterium. Its description in RNAcentral is "partial 16S ribosomal RNA". It matches the Rfam family "Bacterial small subunit ribosomal RNA", at positions 524 to 776 of the family's 1533-position model. The record is from RNAcentral.
GACAGAGGUGCCGAGCGUUAGGCGGAAUCACUGGGCUUAAAGCGUGUGUAGGCGGAUCGUUAAGUGCCUUGUGAAAUCCCACGGCUCAACCGUGGAACUGCUUGGCAUACUGGCGAUCUUGAGCCACUUAGGGGCUACCGGAACAAAUGGUGGAGCGGUGAAAUGCGCAGAUAUCAGGAGGACCACCGGUGGCGAAGGCGGUUCUCUGGGCAUGUCCUGACGCUGAGGAGCGAAAGUGUGGGGAGCGAACAGG